GAUCGGCAGGUGGGGGGAGGCAGCUGGCAGCGGUCGUCGAGUGGGGGACGCAGCCGGCAGCGCUGCUCACACAGCUGAGCUGAGGCUGCAGCGGGAGGGAGCGCCGUAACUACAAGGCUCAGCUGCUGCGGGCUAUAUCUCUUCCAGUAAUAAAGAUGCCGCUCUGAUUGGGUGCCCGUCAGCUGGGCAACUCACACAGCUGUGCUGAACCAGCAGCGGGAGGGAGCACCAGAGCGGGUGCAGAUGCUAGGCUGCCAGUAGUAAACAUGUAUGACUGGGGUGAGAGAGGCUGCCCACACACUGCAGUGCAAGUGCAGUAGGCUGCCACUGAGGACGAGGGAGGAGGCGAGGAGCCAGUUUCCACUUUACUGACGUACAGCACAGUGAGGUGGAAGCGGACGCCGGGAGGAAAUCACAGAAGACAAAGUUUUCAGACAAGUUACCAGACAUCAGCAUGCCGGUUGGAGGAGCCAGUUUAUCCAUGGUUACUCACUGUUUGAAGAGAGGAGCACACGGUAGGAUUUGCAGACACUGAGUAUCACAGCCUUACAGACUUCUGCAAGAUUCUUUCACACUCUGAGAGCACUAGCAGUCCAAGUUAAACUUCUUCUGACACCAUGUUUUGUUCAUAAGUUUGUAAAUUCAGUCAUAAGGAUACAGAGACAUGUGAGUUCACUGCUGUGCUGUUUUUAUUCCAUCAUCAACUCCAGGCACACUGCACACUGGACCACUCACUUCCCAGUAUCCCCCUGGUCCCAGGGACCAUCACUGAAGAUUCAGGCUUAUACAUAUUAGUAAGGGAGUGUCUACAAAUAUUAAGCAUUCUAAUACACUAACAUCACACAGCUGGCUACUGCCAACAGAUACGUCCCACAGCCACACUGACACCAGAGCCCUCAGUUAGUGGCAAUUCCCAUAGCUAUUCGGGGACAGCAGGGAGAGAGAGAGAUUUGCUAGAGCAGAGAAUACUAGAGGGAGAGACUUAAAUUGUCACUAGACCCCGCUGCUCCUCAAUGUGACUCUAUUCUGAAGAUAGAGCAGGAUACCUAAUCUAACAAGGGUUAAGGAGUCUAUCAUAAACCAAUACUUGAGAAAGAGAGAGACACUUAGCACAGAGAUCCAUUUCAGUGACGUGCUGUAGCACAGGAGGCAUGUUUAUAAAGGGGAACUGUGUGCUGCUAAUUCACUGCUGCUUGUACUGUUUCAGUGGACUUAUUCUUGUUGGAGUCACCUAUUUACCUCUGCCACCUAUACUCACUAACCGCUGUUCUAAAAGAAACUGAGUUACUUUGCUAGACACCCUACUUGCAUGUGGGCAUAGCUAUAGGAGGACUAUGCUUUGCCUUGUGAUAUACAUAUUAAUUACUAACUCUGUCCCUCUUGCUUUUACCAUGUUCACCUGCUUGUUGCAAAUCAAAUAGUGCAUGACAUUCUCCCCUUUGUGUCUGAACUGCAUUCUUUGGAUGAUGCAUCCGUACUUACUGAUAGUACUCAGCUUUACUUGCUACUCUAAGACUGCAACUAAUAAAGCUGUUGAUACAGUGAAACGCGUUGGUUAAGAGAAGUUGGACACUACAGACUCCAUCUUUCUAUACUUGGAACAAGCCUAGAAGUCCGUAUACAAGCCAAAGCGGAGAUUUGACAGAUAUCCACUAAAAACAUAGGAGACCAAGCUUCAAAUAGGACUGGGUUGCUGCUCGGAACAAAGCAAAGGUCUGUCCUAAAGAAAUCUGUGGACCCUUAUCUGCCGGCAUUGCAAAUUGCCCCCAGGACUGUGGCAUAAGUUCCUUGGAGUACACACACCAACUGAUUGCUCAACUUCUUGUAUGGUAAUAUACCAGACUAAUUGCUGUGCUUGCCUAAACUUUUUACAAACACUUUUUUUCUUUUUAUAUUCGAUGUACAUCUAUGAAUUGAUUUUUAAAUUAAUUGUUGCAACAAAUUUUAUUUAA
Molecule: long non-coding RNA, 1952 nt
Organism: Pseudophryne corroboree (corroboree frog)
Lineage: Eukaryota; Metazoa; Chordata; Amphibia; Anura; Myobatrachidae
Exons: 3
Source: RefSeq, a predicted model, not a curated record